RNAcentral lists this long non-coding RNA (560 nucleotides) under Arabidopsis thaliana (thale cress). RNAcentral's name for it is "long non-coding RNA (ATHA_LNC000123)". The record is from RNAcentral. Lineage: Eukaryota; Viridiplantae; Streptophyta; Magnoliopsida; Brassicales; Brassicaceae.
CUGAAAAAACAAUCAUUUGCAAAAAGGUUUAUUUACUUGCCGGAGAAGUUAGGUCAAACGGGUUAUUUUAGUUGGAAUAUUCAAUUGAAUUUAGUUUUAAACCAAACCACAAAAUAGAGAAACAGAGAAUCGAAAAUACUACUAAAAUCUAAUUAGGUGUAAGUGACGUUACCUCGCCACCGGUGGCAAAGCUAAGGAGGAAACAAGCGGCGACGGAGCCAAGAAGCUGAGCAAUCCAGUAGAGAAUACCACGGAGGAGAGUGAUGUUACCACCGAGUAAGACACCGAAGGUAACGGCAGGGUUAACGUGGCCACCGGAAAUGUUAGCGCCAACAGAGACAGCGACAAAGAGACCGAAAGCAUGAGCUAAGGCAGCGGCGACGAGGCCGGAAGGAGUGGUUGCUCCAUUGUCAGUGAUCUUGUUGAAAGCAAUUCCGGAGCCUGAGCCGGCGAAGACGAAGAUCAAAGUCGAGAUAAACUCAGCGAGCGCCGCCCUAAGUGCGUUGGGGUGAUAGACCUCUUCUUGGACUCCACCAAUGGCGAUGUUUCUGGUCGGCAUG